Homo sapiens (human) is the source of this 2486-nucleotide long non-coding RNA. Ensembl annotates it as RNF217 antisense RNA 1 (head to head). Its record names the gene RNF217-AS1. The record is from Ensembl. NCBI's taxonomy places the organism in Eukaryota, Metazoa, Chordata, Mammalia, Primates, Hominidae.
GGGGCUGGGGAAGGAAGAGCGGGUGCUGGGAGGGUUCAACACUGGCGGAGCCCCAGGUGGCGACGCGGGCGGCGAGAGCUGCUCCGAGGCGGGGGCCUCGGGCAGGUCGCUCUCCACGCAGUACACGGAGCAGAAGACUUGUCUCUUGGCGAGGGACGGGCGCCGCUGACCCAGCACGUCCAGGACCAGUCCGUCGGCGGCCCCCACGCGGGUCCUGGGCUCCAGCUCUUCGCCGGGGGGCGCCUCCUGCUGUUCAUCCCCUCCCUCUUUUCGAUCCCCAGCUUCCUCCUCUUCCUCCUCCAGCUCCAACUGCAGUGGCAAGGUCUGGGGAUUGAGAGGCCCGGCAUGACUAAGAGAUAUCGUGAAAUUACAACUCAACAAUGAAUUACAGCACAGGCUUUUCACAACUAAGAGACUGUCCAUCAUGGUGCCAGUUUUUCUCAAAAUGGCAUGUGUGCAUGAAAUUCUACAGGCAUAUGGGGUCGUGAUCUGCUAAUCUCCAGUUAUUAUACAAAACUACAGAUACUUGAAAACAGAACCAAAUAAAAAUUCUAGCAGAAGAAGACAAUAUAUGAAAUUUAAUAAUUCAUUUCCUGGGAAUGACAGCAGAAAGGUGAUGACAGAGGAAAGAGCCAAUAAAAUUUGAAGACAGACUACUUUGAAAAGGGACUUUCCAGCUAUCAGUACACUAUCUCACAAUUACCCUUGAACCAGAAGACAAUGAAUGAUUUGCUAAACAGAUGGCAUAGUCUAUGACAUGCAUCAUAUGUGUGAGCAAUCACAGAAGACUCCUUCCUGUUGCCUUGUGAAGAAGGCUCCUGCUUCCCCUUCACCUUCUGCGCGAUUGUAAGUUUCCUGAGGCCUCCUAGCCAUGCUUCUUGUUCACUCUGCGGAACUGUCCUGAGCUGAAAAGAAUAUGAGAAAUCGGAUUUUACGACAUUGUGAAGAAACAUCCUGAAGUUAUUCACAGUGACUUCAAUGAACAACACAUCAGUAUACUUUUUACACAGGGGACAAAAGUAAAAGCCGGCUUGAUCAUUUACAAGGCUUUCACCAUGCCGCUGAGAUGUCAAGGACUACAAGUUGAUCUUCAGCCUCUUAAAAUAUGGCCUCGAAGCCUUUCAUGUCUUCAGUCAACUCCAGCAUUUUGACUGAUGGGAGCUGGUGUGUGUUUGUGUGCAGUGGGAGAGAGGACACAAUCCCGAACCUGACACAGCCUGUGCUUGGAGCAGCCUGCGCCUGCUGCCCUCAAUCAUUUAGGUAUAUACAAUGAACCUCACCUGAAACAAUGUUUGUACAAUCGCUAAUGCCAGUGGCUAAUCCUUCCUAUUUGCCUGCUUUAUCUCAACACUGUCAUCUGUUGAGGUGAAUAUCAAUAUUCAAACAACAAUAACAAAAGAUCCUGUCAUCAAAGUGGAAAUAAAUGAGUAUUUUAGAUUAUUUUAAAUAAUUUGGCCUAUAAAAAUAAAAAAAAAGCUCUGCCUAUAAUUUAACCAAGAUUUUUAAAUGUAGUGACCUAACCCUCUGCCAACUAUUAAUUAGCUUGAUGCUAACUCUAAAUCCCAGAUAGAAGGUGGGGGUGGAGGAAGGUUCCCCAAAUGAAAAGUCUAUUGCAGGCAGUCUUCUAAAAGAACCCUCAGUGUUAGCAGAUAAUGAAAGUACGUGUUACCUAUGACUGAGUAGAAAUGAUGCCAUGACCCGGCAAUUUCUUUUCACUGCUGACACAUCCCUGCACUGCACAAAAUAUCAGUGUUGCCUUCAUGUAAAUUUAAUAGGGUGUCUCUGUCAAUGACAUAAGCAAAUACACCAUGAGAAGCAGCAGGGGUUUUCAGGGAUGGCUCAGAAACUUAAGUAUUUUUCCAUUUAUUUUUAAAAUGCAAAUUACACUAGUAAGUCAAAAAAAUCAUUCUGUUAAAAAUACAUUCAGAAUUAACAAAUGCAAAAAAAAAGGACACAUCAGGAUCAUAACCCUUGCCUUCUGAAUAUUAAGUUUAUAACAAAAGCUCAGCCUAGAAAAAUAGCAUUCUUCACCGGAUUUUGAGGAGGAUACAGCUGUACAACUGUAGAUGUUUUCCCAGAUAUAAUCACACUACUGUGCUUACUGAUCCCAUAAAUGACCUGUCCACUGAUUACUUUUUAGUAGUCAACUACUGUUUUUUAAAAUUUUGGUGGUGAUGAUAGUUGUGAUUUGGUGAAAACUUGGCUGUAACUUAAAGCAGGAAUAUGAGGGUUUAUUUUCUGUACCCAUAUACAUGUACUAUAAGGUGAAAUCGCAUCACAGCAUGAAUGUACAGUGAAACCUCAUUUUUAAUAGUCACAUUAAAAGUCACAUUAGAAUAGUUUCUGGCAUGUAUAGUAUUUAUAUUUUAGGACUCAAAGGACAAUACAUUGGUAAAUAUUUUUCUCAUACAUUAAACAUGCAUGUCACUAUAAAAGCGUCAUAUGAGGUUUCACUGACAUGUUUGCAAUUGUUUAUUUUAUACAUG